GAUGAAGAACGCAGUGAAAUGCGAUACGUAAUGUGAAUUGUAGAAUUCAGUGAAUCAUCGAGUCUUUGAACGCACAUUGCGCCCCCUGGUAUUCCGGGGGGCAUGCCUAUCCGAGCGUCAUUGCUGCCCUCAAGCACGGCUUGUGUGUUGGGCCUCCGUCCUCCUCCCGGGGGACGGGCCCGAAAGGCAGCGGCGGCACCGCGUCCGGUCCUCGAGCGUAUGGGGCUUCGUCACCCGCUCUUGUAGGCCCGGCCGGCGCUUGCCGACACAUCAAUCUUUUUUCCAGGUUGACCUCGGAUCAGGUAGGGAUACCCGCUGAACUUAAGCAUAUCAAUAAGCGGAGGA
This 345-nucleotide unclassified non-coding RNA is filed under the name soil metagenome. Its description in RNAcentral is "partial contains 5.8S ribosomal RNA, internal transcribed spacer 2, and large subunit ribosomal RNA". The stretch from base 1 to 120 matches the Rfam family "5.8S ribosomal RNA", at positions 35 to 154 of the family's 154-position model. The record is from RNAcentral.